GGGAGUAGGAAGCGCGUCAUCCGGGCCAUAAAUUUGCGGUGAUGGCGCCUCCGGCCGCCUCCCCAGACGGAGGGACAGGGCCGACUCCGGAGCAGGUGGGGCCGCCAAGACCCGACCCCCGCGGUAGGCGCUGCGCGGCUUCUCCCGACGCGGGUCCGGGGCGCGCUCGGCCGCCCCUCCCGCCGCAUCCGCCCGCGCCCGGCCCCGCCGCGGGAUUUCCAAAGGGCUUUUGUUCCGGGCUUGGAUGUAGAGGCUUUGAUUUUUUUUUACCACCCGCCUCAGGAGACUUUUUGCUUGGAAAAGUCCUGCUAUUAAAACAAAAACAAAAACCAACCAAUUCCGGAGGGAAGAAAA
RNAcentral lists this long non-coding RNA (354 nucleotides) under Pan troglodytes (chimpanzee). RNAcentral's name for it is "lincRNA". The record is from RNAcentral. Lineage: Eukaryota; Metazoa; Chordata; Mammalia; Primates; Hominidae.